UGUUUCGCUAGUCUGGGUUAAGAUCAUCCAGGAAUGGGUGAACUCAAGGUGUCUGAACACAGCCGGAAGUUAAUCUUCCCCACCCACAGGUGCAGACACAACAUUCAGCUUUGCACUGAAUUGCUGCACUCAUCCUUCUGGUUUUUGCCCAGAGCAGGACAGCUCCUGAUGCUUGAGAGNGGGAAGCUUCAAGGAUGGAUACACUGGCCUACAUUACUGUUACUGUUCUUUUCCUGACCUCUCUUUGCCAGAAUUCUUGUUCAGAAGUAACUGCUGGGCAUUCUUUCAACACAUCAGAACAGUGUCCUCAUAUUGAAUUCUGUUCAGAAGCAGCCAAGUGCUGCCAGUUUGGAGUGGACGACUAUGGAUGGAUCGCUGCAGCUGUGGGCUGGAGUCUCUGGUUCCUCACCCUGAUCCUUCUCUGCAUUGAUAAGCUCGUGAAACUCAAGCCUGAUGAGCCCAAGUACCUGGAAGCAUGAAGCUGGAUCAAGCUGGCAAGCACUUCCACCUAUCCAUGUGAUGCAAUGUGAAACAAGGAGAGAAAGAAGUCCAGUUAGCCUGCACAAGGGACACUUGUGCAUGGCGUGUCACAAAAAAAGGGGGUUGUGAGGAAUGAACCACUGCCAGGGCACGCUCAAUUGUUUUUAUAUGUCUCUGCAUCUUGCCAAGUCCGGGAUAGGAAGCGGGGAGAAACACUUCUUACUGUAGUUGCAUUUUAGUGUGGCCAGAUGUCCGCUCUGGCAGAGUACAGUGCUUUAUUUUGACUAACUUCCUCUUUUUUGUCCUCUGCUGGAAAGGGUCCUCUGCUGAGUGGCUUUUCAAUACAUGCUCAGAUUAAAAAAAAGAAACUGGAGUGGGGGAGUCUUAAACAGUCCAUCCUCAGCUCAUACCUAGGUAGNAGAGACAUAGCCAUGAACUGGUCCUGGGCACUUCCCGAAACAUCCACCCCUGGAACUGGUACUGUGUUUUCUCCUCUUUUGUAAACUAGCACCCUAUUUUUUCAGUGGCACGUAUGCUUUUUGUGUAAUGUGUACUUGGCCGCCCUAUUUACAACCUUAUCGAACAGGAUGGACAAUUUUCAUCUUAGAGAAAAGGACUGUUUAUCUACCCUGAAAAUGAGAUGGGAAACCUGCUGCAACUGUGAUCUACCGGGCAUUUACCUCUGAUGACAUUGUGCUAUUUCAAACUAUCCUCCUCUCUCUGCUUUGGUAUGAGUCCAAGCCAAGCACCCUGUAAACUAGUCAAUUCUUGCUAGUUCUGCAGGAAACUAUAAUGCUUCCGUGUUAGGACCGUAUAACAAACACAAACCCAAGUGCUUGCACAACAAAUAAAUGGUGUUUUCAUUCUCCUCUGACUCA
RNAcentral lists this long non-coding RNA (1358 nucleotides) under Salvator merianae (Argentine black and white tegu). RNAcentral's name for it is "lncRNA (ENSSMRG00000015990.1)". The record is from RNAcentral. Lineage: Eukaryota; Metazoa; Chordata; Lepidosauria; Squamata; Teiidae.